This 460-nucleotide ribosomal RNA is filed under the name uncultured bacterium. Its description in RNAcentral is "partial 16S ribosomal RNA". It matches the Rfam family "Bacterial small subunit ribosomal RNA", at positions 338 to 795 of the family's 1533-position model. The record is from RNAcentral.
CCUACGGGAGGCAGCAGUGAGGAAUAUUGGUCAAUGGACGCAAGUCUGAACCAGCCAUGCCGCGUGCAGGAAGACGGCUCUAUGAGUUGUAAACUGCUUUUGUACGAGGGUAAACGCAGAUACGCGUAUCUGUCUGAAAGUAUCGUACGAAUAAGGAUCGGCUAACUCCGUGCCAGCAGCCGCGGUAAUACGGAGGAUUCAAGCGUUACCCGGAUUUAUUGGGUUUAAAGGGUGCGUAGGCGGUCGGAUAAGUUAGGGGUGAAAUCCCGAGGCUCAACUUCGGAAUUGCCUCUGAUACUGUUCGGCUGGAGAGUAGUUGCGGUAGGCGGAAUGUAUGGUGUAGCGGUGAAAUGCUUAGAGAUCAUACAGAACACCGAUUGCGAAGGCAGCUUACCAAGCUACUUCUGACGUUGAGGCACGAAAGCGUGGGGAGCAAACAGGAUUAGAUACCCCGGUAGUC